GGAUGUGACUUAGCCAGAGAGUAGAGCACCUUCAGGGCUCUGUGCGUGCUGAGCACAUGGGAAUCAGAGCAGUCCAAGGGAGAGGACUCCAGGAGAACACAUAGCCAGGUGUCUGGGGUAACCUAACAGCCAGGCAGAGGACACCAGACCACCGUGAGCUCCUCCUGUCCCCUCUUCUGGAGAGUCAUUUGAUGUGACUACACUCACCUUUAUUAAUAUUCCCAAAAAGGCUCAGCACCCGCACUGGCUGUCUCUUCCACGCAGAUACUGUCUUGUACAUCUCUAGAGGGCUUGCCUGGAAAGGAAAUAGAGGAAAAAAGGAAAAAGGUCUCCAGUUUACGAUCUGGACACAUGUUUGGAGGAAAGGAGACACGCAGUCCAGUCUUCUGCACCUGUGACUGGUUUGACCCCUCUGGGCUUCACCCUUGAGAUGGCAGCCAUGGCCGCAUAUGGGGGACCAUGUUGGCUAAGCAUUCCUGUCCUACCCGUGACCAGCAAUCAUUCCUAGGCUAAGAAGAAACAAAAUCAUGCCCAAGGAUGCAACCCGGCGGUAGAGCGCUUGUGGAGCCUGCGGCCCUGGGUUCGGUCCUUAUAAACGCAGUGCCUAAAAUCCCAGUACUCAGGGGCAGAGGGUCACUGAGUUCAAGGCCAUCCUCAGCUACAUAGUGCGUUUGAGGCCAGCCUGGGUUGCCUGAGACCCUCACAACGAAACACCAGUGACACUUGCAUUGUGGCAAGAGCCUUAUCCUGUGAUGGGGUAUGUGUACCCCUGACAGCCAACAACCUGCCGCGGCAGAUCCAGCCCUGGUUGUCCUUACCCCCUCUAGAUCAUAGAAGGCCU
Long non-coding RNA from Mesocricetus auratus (golden hamster), 841 nucleotides. RefSeq lists it as uncharacterized. The record is from RefSeq and is a predicted model, not a curated record. Lineage: Eukaryota; Metazoa; Chordata; Mammalia; Rodentia; Cricetidae. The transcript has 3 exons.